CUCGUAGGCGGCUUGUCACGUCGGAUGUGAAAGCCCGGGGCUUAACCCCGGGUCUGCAUUCGAUACGGGCUAGCUAGAGUGUGGUAGGGGAGAUCGGAAUUCCUGGUGUAGCGGUGAAAUGCGCAGAUAUCAGGAGGAACACCGGUGGCGAAGGCGGAUCUCUGGGCCAUUACUGACGCUGAGGAGCGAAAGCGUGGGGAGCGAACAGGAUUAUAUACCCUGGUAGUCCACGCCGUAAACGUUGGGAACUAAGUGUUG
RNAcentral lists this ribosomal RNA (258 nucleotides) under Streptomyces melanogenes. Its description in RNAcentral is "partial 16S ribosomal RNA". It matches the Rfam family "Bacterial small subunit ribosomal RNA", at positions 568 to 825 of the family's 1533-position model. Lineage: Bacteria; Bacillati; Actinomycetota; Actinomycetes; Kitasatosporales; Streptomycetaceae. The record is from RNAcentral.